Molecule: ribosomal RNA, 466 nt
Filed under: uncultured Polaromonas sp.
Lineage: Bacteria; Pseudomonadati; Pseudomonadota; Betaproteobacteria; Burkholderiales; Comamonadaceae
Description: bacterial SSU rRNA
Rfam family: Bacterial small subunit ribosomal RNA
Source: RNAcentral
GACGGGACCGCACAAGCGGUGGAUGAUGUGGUUAAUUCGAUGCAACGCGAAAACCUUACCUACCUUUGACAUGUACGGAAUUCGCCAGAGAUGGCUUAGUGCUCGAAAGAGAACCGUAACACAGGUGCUGCAUGGCUGUCGUCAACUCGUGUCGUGAGAUGUUGGGUUAAGUCCCGCAACGAGCGCAACCCUUGUCAUUAGUUGCUACAUUUAGUUGGGCACUCUAAUGAGACUGCCGGUGACAAACCGGAGGAAGGUGGGGAUGACGUCAAGUCCUCAUGGCCCUUAUAGGUAGGGCUACACACGUGCUACAAUGGGCGGUACAAAGGGUCGCGAACCCGCGAGGGGGAGCCAAUCCCAAAAAGCCGCUCUCAGUUCGGAUUGCAGGCUGCAACUCGCCUGCAUGAAGCCGGAAUCGCUAGUAAUCGCGGAUCAGCAUGCCGCGGUGAAUACGUUCCCGGGCCUU